This 1101-nucleotide ribosomal RNA is filed under the name Campylobacter coli. Its description in RNAcentral is "partial 23S ribosomal RNA". It matches the Rfam family "Bacterial large subunit ribosomal RNA", at positions 1812 to 2925 of the family's 2925-position model. The record is from RNAcentral. Lineage: Bacteria; Pseudomonadati; Campylobacterota; Epsilonproteobacteria; Campylobacterales; Campylobacteraceae.
AACACAGCACUCUGCUAACUCGUAAGAGGAUGUAUAGGGUGUGACGCCUGCCCGGUGCUCGAAGGUUAAUUGAUGGGGUUAGCAUUAGCGAAGCUCUUGAUCGAAGCCCGAGUAAACGGCGGCCGUAACUAUAACGGUCCUAAGGUAGCGAAAUUCCUUGUCGGUUAAAUACCGACCUGCAUGAAUGGCGUAACGAGAUGGGAGCUGUCUCAAAGAGGGAUCCAGUGAAAUUGUAGUGGAGGUGAAAAUUCCUCCUACCCGCGGCAAGACGGAAAGACCCCGUGGACCUUUACUACAGCUUGACACUGCUAUUUGGAUAAGAAUGUGCAGGAUAGGUGGGAGGCUUUGAGUAUAUGACGCCAGUUGUAUAUGAGCCAUUGUUGAGAUACCACUCUUUCUUAUUUGGGUAGCUAACCAGCUUGAGUUAUCCUCAAGUGGGACAAUGUCUGGUGGGUAGUUUGACUGGGGCGGUCGCCUCCCAAAUAAUAACGGAGGCUUACAAAGGUUGGCUCAGAACGGUUGGAAAUCGUUCGUAGAGUAUAAAGGUAUAAGCCAGCUUAACUGCAAGACAUACAAGUCAAGCAGAGACGAAAGUCGGUCUUAGUGAUCCGGUGGUUCUGUGUGGAAGGGCCAUCGCUCAAAGGAUAAAAGGUACCCCGGGGAUAACAGGCUGAUCUCCCCCAAGAGCUCACAUCGACGGGGAGGUUUGGCACCUCGAUGUCGGCUCAUCGCAUCCUGGGGCUGGAGCAGGUCCCAAGGGUAUGGCUGUUCGCCAUUUAAAGCGGUACGCGAGCUGGGUUCAGAACGUCGUGAGACAGUUCGGUCCCUAUCUGCCGUGGGCGUAAGAAGAUUGAAGAGAUUUGACCCUAGUACGAGAGGACCGGGUUGAACAAACCACUGGUGUAGCUGUUGUUCUGCCAAGAGCAUCGCAGCGUAGCUAAGUUUGGAAAGGAUAAACGCUGAAAGCAUCUAAGCGUGAAGCCAACUCUAAGAUGAAUCUUCUCUAAGCUCUCUAGAAGACUACUAGUUUGAUAGGCUGGGUGUGUAAUGGAUGAAAGUCCUUUAGCUGACCAGUACUAAUAGAGCGUUUGGCUUAUCUUU